Molecule: long non-coding RNA, 179 nt
Organism: Bombina bombina (fire-bellied toad)
Lineage: Eukaryota; Metazoa; Chordata; Amphibia; Anura; Bombinatoridae
Exons: 2
Source: RefSeq, a predicted model, not a curated record
CACAGAGCAUGGCAGUAUACACAAAUCGCUACUAAUACAGCCUUAAUCAACUUGUCCUGCAGUGGUAUCCCUCACACGCGGACGCUUGUACUCAGUGCUGGAUCUUGGCGAUCUACGAUGACGUCACACACCCAGCAAAUCCCUGUAGUCCGCUCCAAAGUCCCAAUCAAACGGAACAG